UUUAUUAUUCUAUUUUUCCUCAUUCUUUCAUUUAUCAGCACCUUUUCCAAUUAGCUUAUUUUCUUAAACUAGGUGGGGAGUAUUAGUCAUUCCUUCCACAUACUUCUCUUUUUUUUUAUUUUUUUUUAUAUGUGUUACGCACCCCUAUUAUAGCCACCCUUAACUCAAGCGAAAAGUCUUCAUUAAGGUGCACAUUUUCAAACUGGAACAGGGCCAAUAUAGG
Molecule: long non-coding RNA, 223 nt
Filed under: Capsicum annuum
Lineage: Eukaryota; Viridiplantae; Streptophyta; Magnoliopsida; Solanales; Solanaceae
Description: long non-coding RNA (CANN_LNC002874)
Source: RNAcentral